This is a long non-coding RNA of Anolis carolinensis (green anole), 1417 nucleotides long. RefSeq lists it as uncharacterized. The record is from RefSeq and is a predicted model, not a curated record. NCBI's taxonomy places the organism in Eukaryota, Metazoa, Chordata, Lepidosauria, Squamata, Anolidae. The transcript has 4 exons.
UGACAAUCUGGGAUAAACAGAAAACCUGGGAUCAGAUCCUGAGAUAUAGGGCUUGUCUGGAAGGGCCCUGAGUCACUAACAGAAACACCAACAAUAAACUAUGGGCUGUAUUUCUACACCAGCUGCUUAUGGCUUGUCUACAUCAGUCCAAAAACCUGGACUUACCCUAAAUGGACCAGUGGUGCACCAACCUACAAAUUGUGAACCAAAACAAUAUAACUAUACAACACAAGAAAACAAGAAGCCUUUUCAUCAUUCUGCUGAAACUGGUCGAGUGAAACCACCUGAGAGACCUGAGGAUUCAGUACCUACAAGUCAUUAGCCAGGACUGCUCAGACUCUCCCCACACAGCAAGUCAACUGAAUGCAGCCUGAAAUACAGUCCACUUUAACCCCAUGUUUUCCUAUGGGCGUCUGAGAUUAUUACUUGCAUCAUUUUGUGAAAGAAAACAUUUCGUUAAUUCACCUUUAAUAAAAUUAGUAUGAAAAAUAUUUUCUAAUACCACAUAGUAUCAGAGCUAGUGUAAGCACUUGAGGGCUUUAAAUAUAUAGAGUAUAUGUACAUAUAUGCGCAAUGCCUUAUCCAAAUCUUUUUCAUGUGAAAUGCUUUCUUGCAUGUAAAUUAUAUACCAGAACACAAAUUUUUCAGUCAAUAAUACUUCCAUUAUUCAUUUUUCCAUUUCUCUAAAUAUAUUUUGAUUCUAUAAUUUUGUGGGUUGAAAUAUGUAUAGGCUAUAAUGUAAUUAUAAGGUGUUUCUGAUGUAUAAUAGAACACAUUUUAUUUUGUAAGGAUACCAUAUUUAGCCUCAUUUAUGUCAUAUUAUAUGCAUUUUAUAAUUUCUUGAUAGCUGCCUUGGAUUGUUCAUCAAAUUAGGCAUCAAUUUUUUACAGAAUGAGAAUCACAAGAGCAAUAAAACCACAAUUUAUUACAAAUCAUAUGUACUUUCAUUUUAAACAUGAAUGAUUGUGUAAAAACAUACCGGCUUCAAGGAAAGUACAUAUGAUUCGCAACAAAUUGUGGUUUUACUACUUUUGUGAUAUGUUUAAAAUUAUCAUCAGGAAAAAUCUUUACAGUAUAUAAUGAAUAACCUGUUGCUUUCCAUAUUAGUAUUAGUAAAGGUAUCCCUAUUACUUGGUAGGUGAUUCCCAUGUGAUGACAACAUGACAAUAACUUUCUAACCUCUGUGGUUUAACUUAACAAUACAUCGAAAUAAAAGUGUCUUGUCUUUUGCUUAGCAAUGGUUCUGAAAGAAAUUGCAUAUCUGUAAUUCCGCUUGAGUGCCAUAUACAUACAUAUCAUUUACUAUAACUAUAAAGAAAUUAGGAAACUAGGUAAUUUCAAAGAUUAAUAGAAACUAUUAUCAUCAUCAUUAUUGUUGAUAUUAUUGCUAUUAUUUACAUUUACUUAACAAGACCUU